UUAGCGUGUGCAAUCAUCUGAAACCAAUUUUGAAAUCUUUUUUAAUUUAUAUUUUAGACGAAAUUUUAAUUUAUAGAAAUAGUUUUCACCUUCAUAACGCUUUGUUAACUUAUGAUAUUUGUUCAACACAUUUUACUUUGAACCGGCAGACUGAAGUGUUAACUGUAAAUCAGUCAAAUGGACAAGUGCAGCUGUCAGUAGGUGAAAUUCGGGAUAUAAUUUCAUCUGUUAAUCUAUUGGAGCAUUUUUUCCAAGAAAGAGUAUUCCAAAACAAAUUCUGAAAAGGUAAGUUUUUAUUUUAUUAUUUAAUUUUAACUAUAUGCAUUGCAAUCAGUAUUAAUAGCACAUUGUGUAAAGAACGUAAAUCUAUCACCCAUUCGCAACUUUAUUACAUGUUUACGGUAUAUAAUGAAUUUAUAAGAUUUAAGAUGAUUAUAUAUGUUGGUCAGGACAGAAUAGGCGGUUGGGGUGAGGAAAGACCAACUGAUAAUACAUGUUUUACAACAGUCGCAAGGAAAUAAUGUCUAUACCCUAUAUUCAUUUUCAUCUUGAUCACUCUACACAAUGUUUUCAUAGUCGUACACAAUGGAUGACCUUUCAACUACAAAAGUCCAUUCAGACGUCAGAUUCUAUAAAUCUAGCAGCGUGCGAAGUUAGUUUUUUUUUCACUCUGCCUGUGAAAAAAUGUCCGUUUCGUUUAUGCUGAGAAAUCCCACUCGCACAGAUUAUAAUUUCGGUAUUAGGCAACUUCGUCAUUCUAUUUUUUUAAAUUUUAUUUCAUCACGAAAUUUGCUCUUUAUUCUACAAAAUCCACAGAUAGAAAAUAAUAUCAGUAUUUUCUGUAAAAUUUAUUUUCGUACGGAUUUUACAGGAGCAAUUAUAAUCCACGGAGAAGUGUUUAUUUAUUUAACAAGGAGACAAUUAAAAAACCUUCAAAGUUGCCUGGAAUUGUCGUUGCGCUUAUCAACGUGAGUAUCUCUUUUAUUUUCGUUGGUUAUUCUUUGUAACUAGAAAGAAGGUUAUUCGUUGUCACUUGUAACAAAGCUUUAAUUUCAUUCCAUUAUCGACUUUCCUUUGAUGACGCUCAUGUGAGCGGCUUUCAUCUCUCUACUACGUGUCAUUUUGCACGUAUAACAAUGAACUGUCAAUUUCGGGUGGGUUGUGGUAUGGUGGUAUUGUUUUAUCCAAUCAGCACGAUCACAUUUUGCACAUGUGUUAAUGUAUUGCCAAUGUUUGGCUGUUAUUGAAUAUCCAAUCAGAGUACGAUAUUAAUUGUAUAUAAAAACCGUUGAAAUCGCUAAUUUAUACCAUUGAGAGAAAAAAAAAAAAAGAAAGAAAGAAAAAAAAAAAAAUGUUGAUAAUAGUUUUGAUCUACGUUGUUGUCGGUAUUUCACAUGGUGAUGCUUUGCCGUGCUCAUGGAUCGGAGGAUCAACUUUAUCAUGCUCUACCGAACAGCAUAAGUCAAUUUCUCUUUUGUCCGGUCAACUCUAUCGAGGAAUAUCCGUCAUAAGAAUUCACGGUUCACCAUCACUGCUGCUAAUCAACGGUGAUUUGUUUCCACAACUGCAGGCAAUUAUAGGAGACGUGGACUGCAGCCGUGUUGUCGGCGUUCAGGUGCCGGUGAAUGGCAAGUGGUGCAGUGAGCUAUCAACAACUGCUAUUUCUUUAUCUCUCUCUACUACUACUACUACUACUACUACUUCUACUACUACUACUACCACUAUCAUUACUACUCUCCCUCCUACUUCCUCUACUGUUAGAAUUAAUAGCCUCUCAUUGUUUCCUGCUACGGUUAAUACUUCCACUUCUACUGCAGCUACUACUACUGCACCAACUACCACAACUACUAAUCCUGUUGUUACUAACCCUACUGCUACUACUACUACUGCUACUACUGCAGCUACGUCUACUACAGCUACUUCUCCAACUACUAAUCCCGUUGUUACUAACCCUGUUGGCACUAACCCUGUUGCUAUUACCACCUCCACAACUUCUACUGUUUCUUCUGUUAAAUCAUCUACUCUGAUUAUUACCGGUUCUGUUGCUAAUAUUUCUUCACCAACUUCCACCGCUGAUAUCCGAAGCACCCGGUUAUCAGAUUCUACUAUCGUAGGUAUAACUAUUAUUAUUAUUAUCAUCAUAUUCUUUCUGUUAAUGGUUUUUUAUUUGGUUUAUCGAAAAAGGAAAGGUAAUCAUACAAGGUAUAUAUCACCUCCUCCAGAUAUAGAAGAUAAUGAGAUAGAAUUGUUUACAUUUCAAUCUAAAGUUAAUAAAUGUUAAAAUUUUAUUCUAACACUUUUAUAUUUUUAUUUUUAUUUUUUAAUUAUUUAUUUAUUUAUUUAUUUAUUUAUUUAUUUUUUACCUAUUCUUCACUUCAUUUACCCAUCAGCAAGACCCUAUCACCCCUCCCAUCCCUACACUAUCAGCAACGGCGAUGGCUAUGAUGAUGAUGAUCAUCAUGAUGAGGAGUGUCGUGGUUGUGUGAUGAAGUCGGAGGUGACGGCACUCCUCAUCAUGGCUGUCCUGGCUGCGGUGGGCAUUCCGUCGGGACUCGCUUUGCGGUGGUUUCUCCGCAGGAGACGGAAUGCCCGCCGCACCCUUCACCGUCACCGUCGCGAGGAGGAGGAGCACGAUGAACCACCUCACCUCAGGCGGGAAGUAACAGAAUUGUAAUCAAUAACGCAUUAAUCCUUGUAAACAAUAAAUUCUAUGAUUAUGAUAAAAA
Haliotis rufescens (red abalone) is the source of this 2726-nucleotide RNA transcript. RefSeq lists it as uncharacterized. The record is from RefSeq and is a predicted model, not a curated record. Lineage: Eukaryota; Metazoa; Mollusca; Gastropoda; Lepetellida; Haliotidae. The transcript is spliced from 4 exons.